This 569-nucleotide ribosomal RNA is filed under the name uncultured Gammaproteobacteria bacterium. RNAcentral's name for it is "bacterial SSU rRNA". It matches the Rfam family "Bacterial small subunit ribosomal RNA", at positions 9 to 566 of the family's 1533-position model. Lineage: Bacteria; Pseudomonadati; Pseudomonadota; Gammaproteobacteria. The record is from RNAcentral.
GAGUUUGAUCCUGGUUCAGAUUGAACGCUGGCGGCAUGCCUAACACAUGCAAGUCGAACGGCAGCACAGUGUGUAGCAAUACACAUGGGUGGCGAGUGGCGGACGGGUGAGUAAUGCAUAGGAAUCUGCCCAGUAGCGGGGGACAACCCGGAGAAAUCCGGGCUAAUACUGCAUACGCCCUACGGGGGAAAGCGGGGGACCGAAAGGCCUCGCACUAUUGGAUGUGCCUAUGUCGGAUUAGCUAGUUGGUAGGGUAAUGGCCUACCAAGGCGACGAUCCGUAGCUGGUCUGAGAGGACGAUCAGCCACACCGGAACUGAGACACGGUCCGGACUCCUACGGGAGGCAGCAGUGGGGAAUAUUGGACAAUGGGGGAAACCCUGAUCCAGCAAUGCCGCGUGUGUGAAGAAGGCCUGCGGGUUGUAAAGCACUUUCGGUGGGGACAAAAAGUGGCGGGAUAACACCCUACUAUCUUGAUUUAACCCAUAGAAGAAGCACCGGCUAACUCUGUGCCAGCAGCCGCGGUAAUACAGAGGGUGCAAGCGUUAAUCGGAUUACUGGGCGUAAAGC